Long non-coding RNA from Populus trichocarpa (black cottonwood), 3546 nucleotides. RefSeq lists it as uncharacterized. The record is from RefSeq and is a predicted model, not a curated record. Lineage: Eukaryota; Viridiplantae; Streptophyta; Magnoliopsida; Malpighiales; Salicaceae. The transcript has 4 exons.
UUUUAUUUUACAAGAAUAUUUCAACUUAAUUUACCUCUCUUUCUAUGAGAUUAUUUUCAUCUGUCAGAUCUUGUUCCUGUAAUUAGUAAUAGCAAAUGGGAGUUAGAAAAGUAUCGAUCCGCUUGUAACCUUAACAGCUUAAGCAAGAGCACUACGUUUAUUAGGCACUUAAAACAGUAAGAGAGCACUACGUUUAUUAGGCACUUAAAACAGUAAGAGACCUAAUCUUGGAGACACGAAAGCAACACGAGACACAGGAGAAAUAGAGAAGCCAACAAAAUCAUGACCCUGCCCAGUAGGAAAAAGUUGCACACCAAACCUUAAGUGCGAAAGUGAAGAAGCAAUCAGAAAAAUUCCCAUGUAAUUUAUUGACAACCUAGCUAAAAAUUCUUAGUUUUGUGCUCUCUUACUUGCUGUUUUGAGUGGGAAUUAUUAAUUAGUACUCCCAUAGUAAUUCAAGGGGAAAACCAGAGACCUAAAGAAAAGUAACACAUUAAGCCUAAACUGCAAGAAUUUGAGGACAAUCCUUUGUUCCUCUUAUCACUAGGAAUUGCUUUUCAUGAUAAUUAAUCACUCCCCAUCAGUUUUUCCUACUGCAACUGUCUCUACCUGCCUGCUCAACCCCAUUCCCCUGCUUCUCACAUCUUCUAGAAAAUGUUCUCACUUCCAUGAAAACAACAUAUACUGAAACAGAACACAUUCUACCUAGUAUUCCUAUGCAAAUGAAGUUUGUUACAUGCCAUAUCAGGCUGUGGAUAUGCUCCUGACAAAACACCUACCAUGCAAUUAUUUAACGCAACAAACUUAAAUGAUUUGUCCCAUCUUUUUGUACACCAAUCCAAAGAAUGACGAACCCGUACGGAUAGAAUGUGACUAUAUGAGAGCCUUACAACACAGGCAGCAGUUCAAUAAAGGCACCAUUCUCUUCCAUGCAUUUUAAGUGCUCAUCGUGUAACUAAUAUUGCUUCUAGGAGGAGGCAACCGUACAGUGGAGAAUGACUUAUCUGGUUUAGAAGCCAUCAAGCACCCCCUCUUGCAACUGCUUAAGCCUCUAGGGGCAAGUAAGUCUAAUUCUGAUUAUUGCAGAUUAAAUCCACCUCAGCUUAUGGAUCUAGGAGUCGCAUAAAAGUAUUUCCGUGUUCCAUCAAUACCAAACAGCGCUUCGCUUUCAAUCAUGUAAUGAAGAGUUUCAAGCUCUCACAACCAACAAACAAGGCUGUUCUGUUGAUCAUGGGUUUGAAUUGGACAACUGACCUUUCUUCCUCUGGUGUAAACUAGUGUGGAGUCCAGUUCUCUUUCUAGCUGAAUGAGUUGAGUUAGAUUUAGCUGUUCUAUGUUCUUCCCUUCAAAGUACCUGCAAAAAAGAGCCAAUAAAUGCUAGUGAUAGGUCCAGUGGAAUGCAACAUGUCAAUUUCCAUGAAGCGUAUGACAUGAAUCUGAAGAUUGAUGAUAUACCUUUGGACCAUUUGGAGUGGGUUAGCAUCCAUAUAGCUGGGACCCAUGUAUUCUGCGUGAUGAUUCUGCUGAAUUUCCAAAAGAUUGCUAUUUCUUGACUUUUAGUUUUAUGUGUGUCAUAGCGCUCAAGGAUAUUUCUCAAACUGUACACAAAGGAACAUUGCGCAACUCAGAAAUCCUCAAACUGGGCAUAAAGGAACAUAGUACAACUGAUAAGCAAGCAAGGAACCUACAAGUAUUGUGAAGCAAAUACCAACAGAGAAUCAAUAAAACAAUUGAAGCUACAAGUGAAGUUAAGCCAGCAUAAAAAUCCCUGACAAUCCAUAUCACAGGUAUUUUCCCAUUUCUUCCAUCUUCUAAAAUUUACAGUGGAUAAUGGUUGUAAGGUUCACUUCUAUGAGCCCUUGUUAGCGUGUGUUGUGGUGGUCAUUUUUCAUUUAUGCUGAUUGUAUUUACUUAUUUUCUUUUUGUAUCUUGAUAGCAUUCUAAGGUUAAGGCUUUCAUUUAGACUAGUAGCCAACAUGAAAGGUCAGUAAUAACCUACUCUUCUACGGAAGGCCUUGUAUCAUCGAACAUUAAUGUACAUGUCAUAUGUAGUUUUAGGGAGAGACAGUUUCUAGCCUCCUGCUGUCAUACAGUAGUGGGAAACAUGCUGAGCAUUCUUUGCUUUUUAAUCAAGAGGCAUGACUGAUCUUAAAUAGAGGAUAUAUUGUCAGUUCCAAGGGUUUUGGACAAAAUGAAGGCAUGAAACAUUGAAAGUAUGCGAUGCGGGACAUGAUUUUGAUUUUUGCUAGUGUGACUUGAGGAUUUAUCAUGAUGAAAAUCAUGAAAGAAUUUCCUUUUUUGGAGGGUAUAUACCCUGUCCUCUGUAUUUUCUUCAUCUUCUCUUUCGUUGAUAGAUUUUUAUUUGAACUUGAAAAAAAGAAGAAAAAAAGGCUAGUAGUAUUAGGGUGCAAUAAUAAUCAUGAUAGUCAAAAGUUAGAAGAUAGAUUUAUGACACUCAGUUAUCUUGUUAGGAUUUACCUGUCAAGUAAGAUCAUUAGGAAGAACAAUAUGCCAAGCAAAAAUUAAGUUUUUUGGCCCUUGCUCUUAGAGUUUAUUAUAUUUAUUCUAACAUCAAAAGGUAACAGCUAUUACUGAGAUGAAACUAUAUGAAUUUUCUCCAACUAUACAUGAUAGCUUAGGUUCUCCACAGAAACUUUGCAGUAGGUAAUUAUGCUUUUAUUAUUUAUGGCCGAAGUGAGUUCAAAUGGGUUCUUUUCCUUUUUUUUUUUUUUUGUAUUGCAAUAUUUAACUAUUGUAUUUCUAUUGAUAAUAUCAUUCGAUUUAGAAAUAUAGAAAAGGAAAAACAAGAUUGAAGGAAAAAGGAACAUAAUGAGAAUGCUUCUCUGCUGUUCUCAUUUCUUUUCUUUCGAUUAUUUUGGAAUUAUAGUAGGUAAUUUGAAUGCACUAUAUGUUUGAGAAUAUGUUGUAGUUCUAAAAUGAGAAGAAUUGCGAGAAAGAAGAUAGAAAAAACAGAGAGAAUCGAGUAUUUGUGACUGAGUAUUUGCUUUGAACAUGGGUGUAGAUAGCUUUGCAAUCAACAAAAUCACCAUCAAAUACAUCUCUGUGCCAUGCUUGUUUCUGAGAUAGCAUACCUAUUGUUUCUAAAAGAAAGUCUCUGUACCAAGAAAUUUUCAUUAUGAGUUCUAUUACUAUAUGCUUGAAUAAAUAUUCAGCUCAGAAAGCCUUUGGAGAGAUUAAAGCCUUAAUGAUUGAAUCGCCUGUUAUUAUGCUAGUUGAUUUCAAUAAACUAUUAACAAUGUAGUGUGAUGAAUUUCAAGCUAGAUUUGUAGUGCCAGUAAAUAAGCAUACACACCUUUUUCACUGAUGAACUAUCUGGUUCAUUUGGAAUAGUCAAGUAUGGCAGAAUCUGAACUCUAGAAGAUGCUUAACAAGCCCUAUGUCAUGUGAAGUAUAAAAGAAGAGAGUUUAGUGUUUGUAGCAGAUGCACUUGGCAAGUGAUUUUCCUUAGCAAGGCUAAUGGGGAAUAGAAGUUUCGAGGAGUUCUUAUUUCUUCCUCGUCUAUUUUCUCUAAAGCACUUUAUUCUA